UGGGGGGGGGUCUUAAAGCUCCCCCCCCCCCAAAAAGGCCCCGCACGGCGUGUCAGCAUAAGAGUAUCACAGCUGGAGGUGAUGCUGAAGCAGCUGAGGGGAACUGCAGGAGGAGCAGGAGGCGAAGGCCCGUUUGCACGCUGAGCUGCGGACGCUGCGACGCAGCAACCGCCGGCUGCAACGUGAGCACGAGGACGCGGCUGCACGACUGCGGCGUGUCACACAACUGUUGCACGAGGACCCCCCCGAAACCCCCCCCGACACACCCCCAGGGACACCCCCCCUUUAAAGGGACCCCCCUUGCACACGCGUGUGCAAGCACUUGACACCCACCCACCCCCCNUUUAAAGGGACCCACAUCCCCUUUAAAGGGACCCCCUUGCACACGCGCGUGCAAGCACUUGUGCAUGAGGCCUUGCACAACUAUGGUGCAUGAGGCCUUGCACAACUAUGGUGCAUGUGCUUCACAACCCCCUUUAAAGGGACCCCCUUUGCACACGCGUGUGUGCGAUCGCUUGUGCGUGAGGUCUUGGACCCCCCUUGCACACACGUGUGCAAGCACUUGACACCCUCCCCCCUUAAAGGGACCCACAUCCCCUUUAAGGGGACCCCCUUGCACAUGCGCGUGCAAGCACUUGUGCAUGAGGCCUUGCACAACAACGGUGCAAGUCCUUGACCCCACCCCCUUUAAAGGGAGCCCUUGCACACGCGUGUGCAAGCACUAGUGCAUGAGGCCUGUGAUUGAGAGCCCCUCUUUUAAAGGGACCACCCCCUUGCACACGCGUGUGUGCGAUCGCUUGUGCAUGAGGUCUUGGACCCCCCUUGCACACGCGUGUGCAAGCACUUGUGCAUGAAGCCUUGCACAACGAUUGUGUGAGUCCUUGACACCCCCCCUUUAAAGGGACCCCCCCUUGCACACGUGUGUGCAAGCAACUACUCAUGCACAACGCCUUGCACGACUAUGGUGUGCAUGUGUGCAAGGGGGGCUUGCACUAUGGUGGUGCACACUCGUGUGCUGCCGUGCACACCCCCACUGUGUGCUCACCCCCACCUUGCACACUUGUGUGCUCACACCCAUUGUGCACACUUGUGUAGAGUACUCAUGUAUUACACACUCACCUUGCACACCCACCUUGCACACUCACACCCAAUGGACCCCCAUUGCACACUCACCCACCCUCACGUAUUACACACACUCACCUUGCACACCCACUCCUCGUGCCCCCCCUCGCUCACACUCCUUGCACACCCACUCCUCGUGCACACUCCCCUUGCACUUACACUCAUUCACUCUCCUUUGCACACUCACACUUCAUGCAACCACUCCCUCUUUGCACACCCCCCCCGGUGAACUCAUGCCCCCUCCCCUUGCACAC
This 1376-nucleotide long non-coding RNA is filed under the name Coturnix japonica (Japanese quail). RNAcentral's name for it is "lncRNA (ENSCJPG00005002890.1)". Lineage: Eukaryota; Metazoa; Chordata; Aves; Galliformes; Phasianidae. The record is from RNAcentral.